AUAUUAUUAGUUUCAGUUUAUUAAAAUGUCUGCUCUCAACAGCUGCGGGAAGUAAGGAAGUAUAUGGGCAUGAAUUAUUAUUUUCAUAUGACGAAGACACGAUUUUUGUAAGAGUGUUUGGGGUGACUAAACUUGAUCCAAAAUGUCAGAUGCAGAUGAGCGUGCUUCCUGUGAUAAUACUUCAGAUCCAGAGGAAGGGGAGGAAGAACAACUUGCUACAUGUGGUGGCUCCUCCUCUCCUUCUCAUUUUGCACAGCCUUGUGACCAGUCUGUAGCGUCAGCCACAGAUGAUGGAGCAGACAACUAUAGCAUGGAAGUGCAUCUGGGAGGCGAUAACUCUCAACAUGCCAGUGAAAUCAGUUCCAUAUCUUAUCAGAACCUUCUGGAGGAAGGAGAGCCCACUGGCAGCAUCCUUUCUCGUAGGGGUAGCGAAGACAGUACUGAUUCCUAUCCACCAGAUUUCCCUGAAAGCAACCCCUCUGAUGAUAUAGAAACAUUUGAGGCAUCAGAUUUACCAUUGUCAGAACACUACAAUCUCAGGAUUAAACAGCUGCCUGCUAAAGCAUAUUCAUCCUCAGGAGGAGAAGAAGGUGAACCUAGGCAUGAGAGCUCAGCUAAAUCUGUUUCAGAGAGCAAAGACAAAAAGAAAGAUAGCUGUGCAGAAGGCGGAAAAAACUAUAGCACUGGUGACAGCAGUGGUAUAGAGAACAACACCCUACCUUUAGACACAGCCUUGUCAAAGAAAGCUUCGAAAAGCCUGAAUAUAUCGGAACCUGUUACUCCAGACACAUCGGCUGUCAUAAAAAGGAAAAGGUCUCCUCAGAUUAAUGCUUCUUCUCAUACCAAUCGACCAGAAGAUGGUGAGGAGGUUACAAGGAAGCGCAACAGCCUCGAAAUCCGCAAUAACAUUCCAGUAGUCGGUGAAGUGAAGAUGUGUGAUAGCAGUCCUCCAACUUGCACCCCACCGUUACAUGGGGCCAAGCCCAAAAUAAAAAACUUGAAACAGUCUCCUGGUCUAGCCCGAAGGGUAUGUGAUCAGUCUGGUACCAGGGACAGCUCAAGUUCAGAACGGGAAACAGAAGCACGCAGAAGUGGUGAACCUGUACAGUGCCCAGUGCACACACCUAUUAUGUUGCUGCAUGUGACGUCUACUGGCCAGGACGAGAGGGUCAUUGAUACUGAAAUCCCAACUGGUAAAGUUGAUAUAAUUGCUCCCUUGCGACGAAAUGUUGAUAUAGAAAAUGAAUAUGACUAUGUCAAAUAUGCCCGGGUUCAACAUGGAAACUCUUAUGUUGGGAUGCGUCUUGCCUACUCCAGCUCAAAUGACUCAUUAAGUUUGAAGCGUAACAGUGUUCACAGCCAUGGAAGUGACUCCAUUGAUAGUUCACGCGAGCCAUCACCAGAGAAAGUUCUUCAUCAGAAAAUGAUUGGUGAUUUAAAUGAGCAUAUAUCCCAAGACCGUGUUUGUGAAGAAACUCUGACCGAGAUUCCACUCAAUGCAUCAGAUUCAUGCCUCAAUGAAGGGAAAAAACCAUUUACUUUGUCGCCAGAAAACACGGAAUGUGACAGCGUUGAAGUAGAGAGUGUGACUUCUGAUGGAGAAAACUCCACACCGGGCUUCCCAACAGUGGAAGAUGGACUGUCUAGUAGCCAAGCAAGUGAUGCUGAAGAGGGUCCUAGUGGGGAUCACACUUCUCCAUCACACAUGCUGCGCAUGAAACAAAAAGCUGACCUAGAAAAUGACAUGAGAAAUUCUGAUGAUUCAUCAAGAGGAGGUCCCCGUGACAUAGAUGCACAAGCAAUUAUGAAUGAUUUGAAAGCUAAGCGGGAAGCUUUGGACAUGGCUAUUGCAGACAUCAAAUCUGCCAUACAGCGAAGCAAGCAGGUUGCAUUGCAGUCUCCUUAUGACAAUCAUCAGUCUGAUCAGAAUGAGCCAGUGUGGAUUCGCAGAGAUCCACCACAAGGAGAGCGAAAAGAACGACAAGAGGAGAUGCGCAGAGUGAGAGAGGAAAUAGAACGUCAGCAAGAAGAAAAAUACCAGCCAAAAGAAGACAAAGGUGAAGACAGUGAGACCAUUACUCUGUCACCAUUUCCUAACACUCAUGAAGUGACUGUGGAACCUGAAGAUGAGAGCAGCAGAAAGCCGAGAGUACUGCAUGGGUCGGGUUAUGAUUCUGAUGACGAAUGUGAAGAGGUUGGUGGCAUGCGGUACACUCGUCGUAACAAAGGCAAAAAAUAUGCCCCUCUCCGCAAAGAAGAUUCUUUAGAACAUGGGGCCAGCAUGGGGAGUGUGAAAGAAAAGAGUGGUUUUGGCAGCACUGCCACCAAUCAGAAUGCCAAUGGCCGAACCCCUCACUCUUCGAACUGUUCCAAUCACGUUAACAAUCUCAAGCAUAAUUCGCAUUCCCAGUAUUCUUCGGAAGAAAAUGGAAGUGAUGUCGAUCCAACCAGCAGGGGCUCGUAUGUACAACACCAGCAUGGAGAUUCUGACACAGAUGAAGAGACCGACCGUCUGCUGCAGAAACAGUAUCAAAGGAGAGAUCAGUAUGUGGAAAUCCCAGAGCUUGACAAUCAGGCUGUCCAGCAACAGACACAGGCACAAAUGCAUCAAUCAAAGGCAAAAGAAGCAAGUGUUUCAGAGCCACGCUCAAAUCGUUCAAACCAAGUUGCCAUUCGUGAUCCUGACCGACCUGAAGUGCUAAUUGAAGGGGUUCUUUUUCGUGCCCGAUACUUGGGCUCCACACAACUUGUGUCAGAAGGUCAGCCAUCCAAAGCAAUGCGCAUGAUGCAAGCUCAGGAGGCAGUCGGCCGUAUCAAGGCUUCGAUUAAAAAAUCAGAGAAAGGACAUGGACGUGCGAAGAGGGAGGCCCCGGAAGGAGAGAGUCAGCCCAGCACAGACGUGGACCUCUUCGUCUCCACAGAGAAGAUCAUGGUGCUCAACACUGACCUGCAGGAGAUAAUGAUGGACCACUCUCUUCGCACCAUCUCCUACAUCGCUGACAUCGGCGACAUUCUAGUCAUAAUGGCACGUCGUCGCAUCCUGACAAGUCCUGAUGAGACGCUGAUGCGUCGUCGCCGGCAGGCCAAGAUCUUGUGCCACGUCUUCGAGUCUGACGAGGCACAGCUGAUAGCACAGUCCAUCGGCCAAGCAUUUCAGGUGGCAUACCUUGAGUUUCUCAAAGCAAAUGGCAUUGAGGACCCUGGCCUCCUACGGGAGAUGGACUACCAGGAUGUCCUCAACCAGCAAGAAAUCUAUGGAGAGGAGUUACAGCUGUUUGCCAACAAAGACUUUCAUAAAGAGGUGAUUGUACCCAAGAUGAAAGGUGAACCACUAGGAGUGGUGAUUGUGGAGUCAGGCUGGGGAUCCAUGGUGCCUACAGUUGUACUGGCCAACAUGCUGCCCAAUGGGCCGGCAGCACGCUGUGGACAGCUAAACAUUGGUGAUCAAAUCAUAUCCAUCAAUGGAGUGUCUCUGGUGGGGCUUCCUCUUUCUGCAUGUCAGACCUAUGUCAAGGCAUCCAAACACAGACUGUGGUGAAGCUGACUGUUGUUCCCUGCCCUCCUGUGGUUGAGGUGCUGAUCAAGCGCCCUGACGUCAAGUAUCAACUCGGCUUCAGUGUCCAGAAUGGAGUGAUCUGCAGCCUGUUGAGAGGGGGCAUAGCAGAAAGAGGUGGAGUGCGAGUAGGGCAUCGCAUCAUUGAAAUCAACAACCAGAGUGUUGUUGCCGUACCUCACGAGAAAAUAGUGUCUCUUCUUGCAAAUUCUGUGGGAGAGAUCCACAUGAAGACCAUGCCCACCUCAAUAUUUCGGCUGCUGACAGGACAAGACAUACCUCACUACUUAUAGUGACUGCUCAGCCCUGCUACCAUGCAUCCAACAUGGACUUGCAUAGAGAGAAGUUGCAGAUGAAUGGCUGUCAGCAAAGAAAGUUAUGACGACCUACAUUUUUGUUGUAGAUCAAGUCAGGCAUCACAGAUUUGCCUGAAAGAGUAUACCAAACUAAGAGAGAUAGCUGCAGUCAUAGAUUUAAUGCAUUUAUAAACAUUUUUUAGUUUUUUAUGGGGUUCGAAGAAAGAUGGAAACAUCAGCGUCCGUGAAGGUUCCAUAACACACAGUUAAGUGUGUUUGCGGUGAAAAUGUGUCAAAGACUUUCACUUUACAUUCAUCUUAACUGCUGGUCAAGUGAAAAGUCUUUUUAGUAAGCACACAGCCCCUCAGCAAGGUUUUUUCCUGUUUCAUGAAGCUAAGGAAAGUGGUGUCUCCAUAGGUAUGGUAACCUGAGUUUGACUUUUUAGUCAAAAGGUUUGAAGUUGAUUACAGUAGAAAAGGCUACACUACGUUCCAGGAUUCAAGACACCAGGUGGAAGUUUGCAGCAUGUGUUGAUUGUACAAAUCAUUUAUUAAAGGAGGCGAAGCUCGUGACAGAAAAAUGUAAAGCGAGGAAACUUGAAUACAUUUCUCUAAGUUGCCCAUAAACCCCAGUGGUUUCUUGAGUAACGACAGACUGAAGCAGGCUUUACAUGACUGUGUGUUGUAAAGCUGGAGGCACAAUAGGCUAACGAUUGUGUGUAAUUAGAUAUUGAUUGAGGGCUGGUUGAUUGAUGCAGAGGUCUGGGGCUAGGGAAAUAGCAGUUUCUGUGAAAAGCACAUGUUUUGGGAUUUUGACAUUGUGUUCAUAGGAAGAAAAAACUUUUUUUUUUUUUUGUUUUUUGGGGUUUUUUUUUGAUAAAUGACUUUCAUGUCUGCUGUGGUCUCUAAGUACGUGCAGUAGAUUUAUUGCCCACUACUUAACUGUAAAAAUAAGUUUGAAUAGGUAGUCUUAGAAAUCUAGGCAUUUCUUUCUUUAUCUUGUUUGGGGGUGGGGGAAGAAUGUACAUGCAUGUCCUGUUCUAGAUUAAGGAGGAGGGGGGAAUUGGUGUUUUACGCGGAGCCAGCAACUAGGGCUACAUCACCGCAAAGCAGCCAUCCCUGUAAAAGGUUGUCACAUGCAGAAAAAGAACGGUAUGCCCGAGACGAGAGCUGAACCCAAGACAGCCAACCUUCACAGCCUGUAUUGGUGACAGGUGCUAACCGUUGCACCAACGGACUGACCUCUCUAGAUUAAGGAGUAUGCCCUAAGUAUGAAGUAACAGUUUAAUGUAACAGGCUGGGGAUUUUAGUUUAGCUGUUCCAUUUUAGCAAUAUUUCAACUACAUUUAUGCACACACAUGCAUUCACUCUUCACCUAAGAAUUUUUCAGUAGAGACCUUUUUAACUGUUGUUGUUGAAGAAUAUUCGUUUUCACUUGCCAUGACUCUUUUUAAGUGAUAGCAAACCUGCCUUUGAUGUACAUGUUGUAAAGAGCUUGUUAGCAUGGUUUAUACUAGAUAUUAUGAAACAGAGUAUUUGCAUUGCCUACCUCUGUCCAUUCUUCACUGGCUUGAACUACAAACCCAGUCCACUCUCAUUUUAAAAAAUAUUAAAGAAAUCUGUUUGUGCUGGAUCAUGUUUGAUGAGUGUAAUGCAAGUGACGGAUAAGAAGAGCUGAAUUAUUCUUGUGUUAUUUUGUGCCUUCUGUCAUAGUUUGGAAUAUAUGUAGAAUCUCUCUGAUUCAGUUAUUAGUUUUCCUUUGGGAGGGUCUUUAUAUUUGUUAAUGCUCCCUUCUUGAAAGACAUUUCAAAGUUUUGGAGAAUUUUCUGUAUUUCAUGGGAACAGGAAACCUUAAUAUUUUAAACAUUCUGUUUUGUGAUGUCAAAAUUUGAUUUCUGGAUUUGGGAAUAUGAUAAUUUUAAAAACAAGUUUUGACAUGCAAAAGCCUGUUUUGUUUAGGUGUGUUGACAAGUUUAUUGAACGAUUCUUUUUAACUUGAGGGAGACAAGUCACAUAGUACUGUAUCAACAAAAGUUCGAUCAUGAAAAUGAACAUAAGGAGAAACCAUUGGUAAAGAAUCACCAAUUCAUUACCUUUUUUGUUUUUGUAGUAAGCUAUCAUGCUUUCUGUGUCUAGCAUAAAGUUAAAACCAUAAUAGUGUAUAAUGAUUUUCUGCCUUGCCAGUGGCUUUUAUUGUGUACAUACCAAGAAGUCUAAACGUGUUUUUAUAACUGACCUUGGCAGUCUGCCUUUAGAACAGUCAUAUAUUAUUAUUCAUACUGGCAGCAUAAUGCUUCCUGUUUUGGCAGUGUUACAGUUGCAUUAUGGAUUUCACUUCUGUAUGACUUGUAAUUCCUUUGUCAAGCCAUGGUAUCAGUUAGGAUGGCCUUGGAAGGAAAAGAACCAGAAACAGGCAUCUUGCAAGUUUACCAGUUCUUACUGUGUUUAAUCAUUGUCACAAAAUGAUGCAAAUUGGAAGUGGUGAGAUGUACACUCAUACCAUGAUGAAGGCAGAACAUGUUUUGGGUCAUGCAUGCCAUAAACUGUUGGUGACAAGUUUUGUGGGGGGUUUUUAUGUGAUGUGAUCGUUAACUAACCCUCUGUUUGCUCUUUCAUUCUGAGUUCUAUAUUAGUGGCAAAAGCUUGCUUGCUCAAGGCCUUUCAGCUCUGUUUAAAUGCAUCAAUGCAGGAUCAUUGUCUGAAUCUAAGUAAGUUUUAAAUGCAGAAGUUUGUAAACUGUUUUUUAGACAUGGUGAUAUAAGAUGAACAUUGUUGAAUGUAUGAAACUGGGUUAUGAAUACUAUUUGAUGAACCUCAUCCUGUCCUCAUGAUAUUUAUCAAAUUUAAAGUCAGUCUGGCUGUCACCAAUGCUAGCAGAAGCAGUGUAAGGAAGAUGUGAAAUUUCAACAGUUUGGGAUUUCAUUUGAGAAUAUAAGCUCAACUCCCAGUAUUCUAUGACUUUUGGGUGGCUAGUUUUGCUGCUAUAAACUAUGUGAUUAACUGUAAUUUAGCAAUUCAGUAGUUUAUUGUUAGUUGUGCUGUUGUAAUACUAUUGACAAUAAUUUAGAAAUGAAAUAGUUUUAUUAUUGCCAGCCCUGUUUAUGAACAGAACAUGAGUUUCAAAAUUUUUUGUUUCAUGUCCUGCAGUCACUUGUUUUUAAAUUUAUUUCAUGGGGUUUUUUUCCUAGUGCUCUGUGUGUGUGUGUUUUGGGGGAGGGGGGGGAUAAGAGUGUGUGCAUGAGUACAAGCAAGCACCAGCAUGCAUUCAUGUAUGGCAAUCUGUGUACUUAGGAGGUGAGUAAGAAGGGUUUUUUUCUUCGAUAUUUAAAGACCCAAGAUUUUCAUGGUCAUUGCACAUAGAUUUUUGCAUGCAUUUCUAGUUUAUUUUUCUAGGUAGUAAUCAAGUUGACAUAGAACAGGGAAACUAAAUUUUUGUUGAUAAAUAUGGAUUGGUAGAGCAAAGUAAUGUAAAAAUACAGUUGAUGAGCCCUGCGACCAGUUUUGGCACUUCUUUGUCUCUCUAGCUUUUGCAAUUCCAACACUUAAAUUUCUGUUUUGCUUUUGAAGAGAAUCAUGUAGUAGUAGCCACAUAUUCAAAUUCAUAAUCAAAUUCACAGUUUAGGAAAAAAUACAGUUGCUGUUAUUACCUGUGUGUGGUUAAAAUGUUUAUGACGCAAAAGAAUAAAAGAUCUUUUUAACAGUUCUUGCCAUAGAGACUGGCAACUCUCCUGUUUUUCAGGGAUUUGAGGAUUCCAGCAUGCAUAAUUUUUUUAAGCGUGUUUCACAUGUACAACAUGGUGUUAAUGUACAUCUGUACAGAAUGCGUUUUCAUUGCAUAUUGCUUCAGUGACAUGUAUAAUUAAUAAUGGCAGUAAGUACUGUUCCAUUGUGAGCAAUCGUAACUGUUUUUGAAGGUUAAAACUUGCUCAUGUCAUAUUGUGUUCUUUAUGUGUUUUAUCAAUAUUUGCAUUAAGAGCUCUAUGUGCAUUUUUUUCUUCGUGUUUUAUGUUAAUAAUGCCAGUUUCUGAGACUAGUUUAAUCCAAAGUUAAUUAUUAUGCACAGAGGAAACUAAAGGUGGGAGCAAAAUGUGUGGCAGAUGGGGCAUUAUUUUUUUUUCUUUUCAUUUUACUUUGCACCUUUCAGUUUGAGCGAAUUGUCUGUGAGGUCAUUUUUCUGUAAAUAAUUACUGUGGUAACUGAUACCAUACCCGUGAUACUUAUUUUUGAGGAUUUGUGCAAUAAAUGUUUUUGUUUGCAACAUGUCGUUUAACAUCAGGCUGUACAGUCUUGGCUAUCCUUGCAGUGAAAAACCUUAAUUUGCCAAAGGGCCUUUCUUGUGUCAGACACCUUCUAUUUAUAUGUUGGUUUUUGGCUUGUGUGUGUCUUUCACCAAAAUGCAUUUAUCUGCGUUCUUUUUAUAUUUAUGCUCACCUGUAAUGUUGGUUUCAUUAGUAAAUUUUCUAACAAAUUUCAUGUUUGCAAUCAUCUUGCACAUCAGUAGCAAUCUUUCCAACGAAGUUUAUACUUCCUUUAAAAAAUAAUUAGUUAAGAAAGACUGCUGCUUUGUACAUUGCUCUCCAAAUCUGUUUUGCUUAGCUAACCCUUUUACUCUGUGAAGUCUUGUCUGUGAGGUAUCAGCAAAUAAAACUAAUGAGAUGCAAAGAUUUUAGGGAAACAACUGAGAGCACACUAUUCCAGUAAAUUAGUCAAUUUUCUCCUUUUUCUCCACAUUUUGCUGUUCAGCAACUCCACAGUGCAGCUGAAACAGUAAAGGGCAUAAUGAGGUUCAGCUGUGAGGCAUUGUUCUCGGAUUCAGGCCUGAGCAAGCACAGGAGGUCUGUCACAGUUUUGGCAGACACAAGAAUGUUCUCUCCAGUUUGAUCUACUUGUCCAGAAUCACAGACCUUUGCUUCCUGUCUUGAACUUUGGCAUUUGUGAUUUCAGAAGUAUGUUCUGUUUAUUUGGUGGCAAUUAUUUUUCAUUCUAAUGUGUUUGUAAUUAAUUGGCACUUUUAAUUCUUUGUCUGUGUGCGUGUGUAAAUGCUUAAGUGUGAAAAAAGGGGAUUUUUGCACCAAACUUAGCAGUGCAGAGGCUUUAGAAAAAUAGCAAAAGCAAAGUAACGAUAAAGUUUUUUCGCAUCAAAGCACAGUCUUGUUUAAAUGUUUUUUAAACUGGUUUUCACCUUUUAGAAACACGGCAACGCUCUGGAGCUGGUGAUGGACUAUUUCCACGGUACUGCUGACCCUAUGCAAUGAUUUGGUCAGGGGGCUGCAAUGUUAAAAGACAUCAAAUGUUAAAUAUUUUCUGCAAAGGUAACUUACCUAUCAUUUCAUUGAUCUGGUAGACACACUUUCAAACUGGACCAGCUGGGUUUCCCUCGCCUAUCUACCCUCUUGCCUUUGUUGCUAUUUUGGACUCGUCUCUUUAGUGUGGGAAAAGGAAUUGGACUGAUAUUGGUUCUGAGGUGUCUGUAGUGGUCAGGAGGUCUUGUAAAAUUCACACACAUCUAUGGUUGUAUAACGGGCCUCUUACAGAACUAAAGUUGUCAUAUAGGCCUGAAAGAGGUUUGUAAUUUGAUAAAUAUUACAUGCAAAGUAACAUAAUACAUAACAUACAGAAUACAUUCUUCCAUCUCCAGAUCCGUAACAGAGCCGCUGGUUGGUGAUCCUUUGCACACACAUAUCAACUAUUUUUUAAAGUCUUGGCUAGGGUAAAGAAUGUUGGGAAUGUUGUGUAUCAAUAAAUUCAUUAGUACACUAAUUUUCUGCCAGAAAAUCAUUUUAUUUUCAGUUUAUCUCCUACAUUUCCCCCCUCCCCAUCUCCCCUUUUUUUUUUUUUUAAAGUAAAAGGUCGAGGUCACAUUUAGUGUAAUGUCUAAAUUUAGAAGAUUUCUUCAUUGGGAGUCAGCAUUGGUUUGUCAGAUGGCAGUCAUACAUUUUAAAAGUAAUGCACCCAAUACAUCCAUGAAUACCUUUCCCCAAUUCCGGCUGCAUAAGCUUAUGGCCAUGCACCUGUAAUAAUCAGCCUAGAUUUUGUGAAAGAUGGUGGUGAAGAGGCUGAAAUGUAUACUACUGCUGGUACCUUUUCCUGGCCUUGCUGAACACCCUGGCCCCCACACCCAUUCCACCGAAAUAAUAAUUAAAAAAAAACACGCAUACCAAAGAAAUCUAUUGUUUCAUUCCAUAAAUUGUCUAAAUUACGCCCUCAGUGUAAAAGGCUGUUCACAAAAGCAUGUUAGUAAACUGCCCUCUUUAAAAACAGUGUUUGUUGAUCGUCUAUUCUCUAACAUUGGCAUUUUCUUGCCGGGGAAAGUUAGAUAAAAAUUAAGGAAUUGAUACAAGCACCUAAAUUACUGGUUUGUCUUUCCUCCUCUUGUGGUAAUGUUACAGUAUCCAAAAAAUUGUCCCUAUUGCUUUGUUGAUUUAAGUGCUUAUGUAUUGGUCAUAUGGUUUCACAAGGCUUUUGUGUCAAUCCUUCCAUUUCUGUGUAACAUUUUUGCUGUUGCAUAGGUUUUGCAUUUGUCUGCAGUUGUUGUACAUGUUGCUUGUGUACUGUAAGUUUGCAGAUUAACGAGCCAUGCCCUGUAACGGUAUUAUAAUGUGAAUGUAUGAGUGAAUGCCUUGGCUGAAAAUGCCGAAAGGUAAAUAAAAUAUGCUAUUUACCAAUCA
Molecule: RNA transcript, 10517 nt
Organism: Pomacea canaliculata
Lineage: Eukaryota; Metazoa; Mollusca; Gastropoda; Architaenioglossa; Ampullariidae
Exons: 21
Source: RefSeq, a predicted model, not a curated record